This 440-nucleotide long non-coding RNA is filed under the name Medicago truncatula (barrel medic). Its description in RNAcentral is "long non-coding RNA (MTRU_LNC004004)". Lineage: Eukaryota; Viridiplantae; Streptophyta; Magnoliopsida; Fabales; Fabaceae. The record is from RNAcentral.
CCAUCUCUUCCUCCAUAAACAAAUUCAUAAAAAAAAAAAAAAAAAAAAAGUAUAUUCUGUGUUUUAAAAGCAUGGAAGUUUUUUGUUAAAAAAAAAACAUAGAAGUUUAAUCAUUUGGUUGUAGAUUUUGGGGUUGAUUUUAUUUUUUGUGUAUCUUAUUGUUAAUCGUUAAUUCUACUUUCUCAGGAUCCCAUUGAGGAGCAUGUGUCUAUAUUAUUCGACUUCAAGGCGCUCAAAAUCAGCAAUACAAUUUUUAGUCGAGGCAAUGUUUUGUAUUUGAUAUAGAAUCAAGAUGUUAGAGUUUAUAUAUCUUAUGUUGAUUGAAUAUUACUUAAUGAAUUGAUAUAUGUCGAAAAACUAAUAUCGAUAAAUUUAUUUAGCUUUUAUCUAUAAAUUUUCUCAUUUCUUCCAAUUUAUUCCAAUUGAUAUGUCGACUUAAU